GAUCCUGGCUCAGGAUGAACGCUAGCGACAGGCUUAACACAUGCAAGUCGAGGGGCAUCAUGAGGUAGCAAUACCUUGAUGGCGACCGGCGCACGGGUGAGUAACGCGUAUGCAACCUGCCUGAUACCGGGGUAUAGCCCAUGGAAACGUGGAUUAACACCCCAUAGUACUUUUAUCCUGCAUGGGAUAGGAGUUAAAUGUUCAAGGUAUCGGAUGGGCAUGCGUCCUAUUAGUUUAG
This 238-nucleotide ribosomal RNA is filed under the name uncultured bacterium. Its description in RNAcentral is "partial 16S ribosomal RNA". It matches the Rfam family "Bacterial small subunit ribosomal RNA", at positions 15 to 249 of the family's 1533-position model. The record is from RNAcentral.